GUGAUCAUAGGCCGGAGCUGAGAGAAUCGAACAGAGAGGGAAUCAGAGUCGGGGAGAAAGAAAGAGAGAGAGAGAGAGAGAGAGAGAGAGAGAGAGAGAGAGAGAUAGUUGAGCGUGUGGGCGGAGAGAGCGAAGGAGAUUUCUCAUUUUUCUGAAACUAACUUUGAGUUAUUUACGGUUAUGCCACUGAGACAUUUUUUUAUCAACAUCUCCUCAUUACAACUUCGAUUUGAACCCACUACAUGUCUACGGACUCGUCUCGAC
RNAcentral lists this long non-coding RNA (264 nucleotides) under Prunus persica (peach). RNAcentral describes it as "long non-coding RNA (PPER_LNC003166)". The record is from RNAcentral. Lineage: Eukaryota; Viridiplantae; Streptophyta; Magnoliopsida; Rosales; Rosaceae.